GACAGAGGGUGCGAACGUUGUUCGGAAUUACUGGGCGUAAAGCGCGUGUAGGCGGCAACGCAAGUCGGGCGUGAAAUCCCACGGCUCAACCGUGGAAGUGCACUCGAAACUGCGUAGCUAGAGUCCUGGAGAGGAAGGUGGAAUGCUUGGUGUAGAGGUGAAAUUCGUAGAUAUCAAGCGGAACACCGGUGGCGAAGGCGGCCUUCUGGACAGUGACUGACGCUGAGACGCGAAAGCGUGGGGAGCAAACGGG
Molecule: ribosomal RNA, 253 nt
Filed under: uncultured bacterium
Lineage: Bacteria
Description: partial 16S ribosomal RNA
Rfam family: Bacterial small subunit ribosomal RNA
Source: RNAcentral